GAUGAACGCUGGCGGCGUGCCUAAUACAUGCAAGUCGAGCGAACAGACGAGGAGCUUGCUCCUCUGACGUUAGCGGGGGACGUGUGAGUAACACGUGGAUAACCUACCUAUAAGACUGGGAUACCUUCGGGAAACCGAUACUAAAUCCGGAAAAUAUCUUGAACGGCUAGUUUUAAUAGUUAAGGCGGAUUGUGCUGUGACUGAGCGAGGUUUCCGCGCCGCUUUAGCUAGUUGGUAAGGUGACGGCUAACCAAGGCAACGAUGGGUAGCUGACCUGGGAGGGUGAUAGGCCCCACUGGACCUGUGCCGCGGUCCAGACUCCUACGGGAGGCAGCAGUAGGGAAUCUUCCGCAAUGGGCGAAAGCCUGACGGAGCACAGCCGCGUGACGGAUGAGGGUCUUCGGAUCGUAAAUCUCUGUUAUUAGGGAAGAACAAAUGUGUAAGUAACUAUGCACGUCUUGACGGUACCUAAUCAGAAAGCCCCGGCUAACUACGUG
RNAcentral lists this ribosomal RNA (497 nucleotides) under uncultured bacterium. RNAcentral describes it as "partial 16S ribosomal RNA". It matches the Rfam family "Bacterial small subunit ribosomal RNA", at positions 28 to 507 of the family's 1533-position model. The record is from RNAcentral.